This 1217-nucleotide long non-coding RNA is filed under the name Anas platyrhynchos platyrhynchos (common mallard). RNAcentral describes it as "lncRNA (ENSAPLG00000022568.1)". Lineage: Eukaryota; Metazoa; Chordata; Aves; Anseriformes; Anatidae. The record is from RNAcentral.
GGCUUUGAGGCUGUUAAAGCAUCAGAGGCCAUGUUUCCAUGCUCAGGUGCAGCCCCGGUGUGAACUUCCCCACCAGAAGCUGCUCAGACAGCAGCACAAGGUUGCACCUCAGCUCGAAGCCCACAGCCAUGCAACAAAAUGGCCGCCAGCGCUAACGGCCCACAGCCAUGCAACAAAAUGGCCGCCAGAACUAACGGCCCACAGCCAUGCAACAAAAUGGCCGCCAGUCCAGGCUGUCAGCAGCCCCUGUGGCUUGGGUGCAACUACCAUCACUGUGUGGAUACACCCCAAAAACUCAGUUGUGGUUUUUAAAACAUUAGGCAAACACAUAUUCGGGUUAAAAAAUUGAACAUUUUUCUCCUGGCCGUUGCAACAGUUACUAGCACUUGGGUGGAGGGAGGGAUGAAGAACCACACAUGACCAAGUGACAACAUUUGUUUACACCACAGGAACUCUGCAGACUUCAUUGGAUCUACUCAGUUUGCACUUGUAGCAAGAAGAGAGGUCACAAAUUUCUAAUUCUACAGAAACCUGCAGGUAUGUUUGCAUGGAUUAACGCUUCUUUUUUGUCAUUUCUUUCUCUCUCCCUAUAUUCAACUUGAGCUGGAAAGAGUAAUGUUUUAAUCUUCUUGAAAUGACUUUUCUCAUGAAGCAAAAGUUACUGCUUACAGCGGAACAUAGUCAUAUUAGGAAGACAAACUGUCAAGAGAGGUGACCCUCUACAAUGCAUCCAUUCAUCAGGAUCAACCAAGGAAAGCCUUUCAGCUUACUUCAGCGGAGCAGAGAACCAGGACCUCCACCAUUAUCCCAGCCAAAAAAUGAGAACAUUGUAAGGCUAAAGGCUAAAAGAGCUACAUGUGCCAGAAGACAACAUUCUUUGGGAGAGAUGGUGCACAGGACAGCAUGGGAACCAGGCUUUGCUUUUUGUGGUGGUUCAGGACACUUCCAGGCCUCCUCUGCUAGCAUUCCAAGGGGUAGCCAGGUUACCCUGCACCAUGAGUGACUACUUUAGGACAGUGCUACAUCUUGGAAAACAAGGCAUAUUAACUUGGGCUCACCUCUGCAGCCAUGCAACCACCCAACUUUGAACUGGCUCGAAGAACUAGAAGAAGAAACUCAGUUCUUCCCACAGCAUAUCAUGGAAAGAUUUUCUCAGAGUUUUGUUUUCUUUAAGAACUUGCAAGUUACGCAAUAAAAAGUAAUGCUUAGCACUUGCA